UGCACCGCCCACUGGAAGGCGCGCGUCAGCCGUCGUCUGAGGUCCUCCAGCAGCGGGCUGGCGGCGAGGGCCUCCUCCUGGAUGUCCGUGCUCCUGCCGUCCCCGAAGAAGUCGCACGCGGGACGAGGUGGGAACCAAAGCUCCGCUCUACCUGGGAGUCCCUGGAGCCCCUGGGAAAUUCUCUCUCUGCAGCGGCGGAAGUCCCCGGGGCCCAUCGCGGAGACGCCUGGUCACUGCUCUACCGCUGCUGCUGAAAGAUGAGUUUCUAAGUUUGAUGUUUAGGGCGGGGUCAGGGCGGGGGCGGAGGUAAUUCAAGGACCCUUGCCAAGUGGGAUGCUGCAACUGCCCCGCCAUUCAGAGACGCUCCUUUGCUCCCAGUCCCAUCUUAGUCCUCCAUUAGCGACAGAGGAAGGAGGCGGUUCCCAUAACUCCAGGAGAAGUUUAAGCUGAGUCGCUUUUUUCUGCUGCUUGCAUUGAAAGGAAGUCUUUCUAAGGAGAAGGCUUGGUAACUGAGCAGUCAGCCUAUGUAAGUGGAAGUUGAGGUACAGGUGGAAGGUUUAUGACCAAAGGUUAGAAUAUUUCAACCCAAAGCCUUCCUGGUUGCCUUGAUCGUCUAAUACGUCAUUCCUUAAAAACAAUUUUUUUUCUUCCUACUCUGCCAGGCACUUUGCCAAGUUUGGGGAAUGCAAAGGCUUAAUUAGACCCCUCACCUUUCCCCAGGUAUUGCCCGCAGUCAAGGGGGAGAGCCUUGGCCCUGCUUGCUAGUUAGAAUGUACCUUCUACAGGUUCAGUAAGGCAUACCUGGAAGUCUGAGUCUCCAUGCUCCUUUCUAUUUUGACUCCUGUCUGCCAUGUCCACGUUUAUGAAGGGGUUAAAAUGAAAAAUCAAAAUUCCCCUUAGCCCAAAGUGUGUGUGUUUAAUUCCCAACUAAUAAGGUUUGGCUCUGUGUCAUCACCAAAUUCCAGUGGAAUUGUAAUCCCCAGUGUUGGAGAUGAAGCCUGGUGGGAGGUGAUUGGAUCAUGGAGGUAGAGUUCUCAUGAAUGGGUUUAGCCCCAUUCCCGCCUGGUACUUUAUAGUGAAUGAGUUCUUACCAGAUCUGGUUGUUUAAAGUGUAUGGCACCUCCUCUCUCUCUCUCACUCCUGCUCUGCCAUGUAAGACACUUGCUCUCGCUUUGCCUUCCACUAUGAGUAAAAGCUCCCUGAGGCCUCCCCAGAAGCAGAUGCUGCCAUGCUUUCUGUAUAGCAUACAGAACCAUGAGCCAAUUAAACCUCUUUUCUUUCCAAAUUACCCAGUCUCCGGUAUUUCUUUAUAGCAGUGAGAGGACAGACUAAUACACCAACUCCAGGUAAUCAUGUGCCAAUAUUACCUGUAUAUCCUUUAUCAAAGAACAUAUUCUGCCUCUUUUUGAUCUAAUAGGGAAUUUCUAAAAAGGAGUGAACAAUCAAAACUUUUGUAUGAUCAAAGAAUGCAAUUACAAAAAAAAACAAAACAUAGUUUAGACACAACUCUCAUCUUAUUCAUCAUUCAUUCAUUCAUUCAUUCAAAAGUUACAAGUCACUUGCAAUGUUCCAGGGUCCAUGGUAGGCAUUGAAGGCAAUAACAACUGAUUUUUAUUCAUGCUUAGUAUGUGCCAGGCAAUUUUUAUGUAUUAAUCUUCACAGCAACCUUGUGAGGUAAGUACUAUUAGUUUCUGCAUUUUACAAUUGAGGAAACUAAGGCAAGAGAUUAAGACGUACACCAAAGAUCUCAAAGCUGGUAAGGGAUCCACUGGAAAUUUGCACCUAGGAAGUCUGGCUUGUGCUCCAAACCACUGGGAUACACCCUGGAUACGCUUUAUCUCCCAAAGAGGAAGAGAGUUGCUCAGUUUAUAUGUUGCAUGAGUGAGUGAGUAAGAGUGAAUAAGUGUUUAAAUUCACUAUGUUCAUAAAAUUCGGCUCUAUUGAAAUGGCUUAAGGCUCAACUGGAUAAGGAACAAUACAGGUUACUCAGCCUGUGCAGAUAAUCUACUAAAUUGAACAGCUUGCAAUAGUUUACAACCCAAGCACAGUAAAAUUCCUACCAUUGUAUAUUGCUUCAUAAAGAUUCCCUAGAAACAUCUGAAGAUGUGUUGUCUUGGUAGAAAUUAUAAAAAUCCAUGUGGUCUGCCAUGCAGCAAUGGAGUGUGAAUUUAGGGUUUUUUGUUUGUUGGUUGGUGAUAGGUUGAUGGGGCUUGAAAACCACCACUAGUCAAUGUACAAUAUAAACGUUUAAAAUGAAUUUUUUGCUAUGAUUUUUCACUUCCAUUUCCAGAUCAUUUACUUCAACAAGAAUUUCAGUUAAGUUCAAUUUAACUCAACAGUGAAUGGCGCAUGUUCAGUGUUAAGAAUUGUGCCAUAUGAGGGAGAUACAAAGAUGAAUAAGGCAUAGUUUUUGUCCCCCAGAAGCUUAAAACCUGAGGAAGCAAAUUUAUUGAUUCAUUCAUUUAACAAUAUUUAUUUAAUGUCUUAUUAUGUACCAAGCAUUACACAAGGUGCUCAAGCUACAAUGGCAAACCAAGGAGACAAAAUGUUUUUUUAAAAUAAACUGGUUUACCACAAAUUAAUAAUUUUCCUCUAUAGGUUAAUUUUUCAGUUGUGGUACACCUUGAAUUUUACAAUUUUUUUUCUUUCUCUUACACAGGCAAAGCAAAUUGAAGAAUUGGAGCACUGAAUAUAACAUCCACAGACAUUUGAAUUAGAAAAUGUAUUAAUUAUUUAUUGCUGCAUAACAAAUUACUCCAAAAUUCAAUGGUUUAAAAAAAUAAACAUUUAUUUUCUCUG
RNAcentral lists this long non-coding RNA (2799 nucleotides) under Homo sapiens (human). Its description in RNAcentral is "non-protein coding lnc-RAD21-1:1". The record is from RNAcentral. Lineage: Eukaryota; Metazoa; Chordata; Mammalia; Primates; Hominidae.